RNAcentral lists this ribosomal RNA (465 nucleotides) under uncultured bacterium. RNAcentral describes it as "partial 16S ribosomal RNA". It matches the Rfam family "Bacterial small subunit ribosomal RNA", at positions 28 to 506 of the family's 1533-position model. The record is from RNAcentral.
GACGAACGCUGGCGGCGUGCUUAACACAUGCAAGUCGAACGGUAAGGCUCCAGCUUGCUGGGGUACACGAGUGGCGAACGGGUGAGUAACACGUGGGUGACCUGCCCUGCACUUCGGGAUAAGCCUGGGAAACUGGGUCUAAUACCGGAUAGGACCAUGGUGUGGAUACUGUGGUGGAAAGUUUUUUCGGUGUGGGAUGGGCCCGCGGCCUAUCAGCUUGUUGGUGGGGUAAUGGCCUACCAAGGCGGCGACGGGUAGCCGGCCUGAGAGGGUGGACGGCCACAUUGGGACUGAGACACGGCCCAGACUCCUACGGGAGGCAGCAGUGGGGAAUAUUGCACAAUGGGCGGAAGCCUGAUGCAGCGACGCCGCGUGGGGGAUGACGGCCUUCGGGUUGUAAACUCCUUUCACCAUCGACGAAGGGUUUCUGACGGGAGAUGGAGAAGAAGCACCGGCUAACUACGU